Molecule: transfer RNA, 73 nt
Filed under: Archaeoglobus fulgidus
Lineage: Archaea; Methanobacteriati; Methanobacteriota; Archaeoglobi; Archaeoglobales; Archaeoglobaceae
Description: tRNA-Thr
Rfam family: tRNA
About the family: Transfer RNA (tRNA) molecules are approximately 80 nucleotides in length. Their secondary structure includes four short double-helical elements and three loops (D, anti-codon, and T loops). Further hydrogen bonds mediate the characteristic L-shaped molecular structure. tRNAs have two regions of fundamental functional importance: the anti-codon, which is responsible for specific mRNA codon recognition, and the 3' end, to which the tRNAs corresponding amino acid is attached (by aminoacyl-tRNA synthetases). tRNAs cope with the degeneracy of the genetic code in two manners: having more than one tRNA (with a specific anti-codon) for a particular amino acid; and 'wobble' base-pairing, i.e. permitting non-standard base-pairing at the 3rd anti-codon position.
Source: RNAcentral
GCCGCCGUGGCUUAGCUGGNAGAGCGGGUGACUUGUAAUCACCAGGUCGCGGGUUCAAAUCCCGCCGGCGGCU